Molecule: long non-coding RNA, 8264 nt
Filed under: Panax ginseng (ginseng)
Lineage: Eukaryota; Viridiplantae; Streptophyta; Magnoliopsida; Apiales; Araliaceae
Description: long non-coding RNA (PGIN_LNC013075)
Source: RNAcentral
CAGAAUCCGUUGGAAGUCUUAAGGCGCUUCAAUCGCUCAACCUUUCGAACAAUCAUCUUACCGGUCCCAUUCCUUCUUUCCUCGGGAACCUGACAAACCUUGAAUCACUGGACCUUUCUCGGAACAAGCUCUCAGGAGUGAUCCCUCAGCAAUUUGUGAAAGAACUAAAUUUCCUUGCAUUCUUAAAUGUCUCAUAUAACCUGCUCAGUGGGCCCAUACCACAAGGAGCGCAAUUUGCUACAUUUGAGAACAAUUCUUACGAGGAGAACUCAGCACUUUGUGGUAUGCCUUUAUCUAAGAAAUGUGGAGCUGUGCGGUCACCCAUCCCUUUGCCACCUGAUGAUGAUGAUGAUGACGAUUCUUAUGAGUUUCCCAGUGGAGUUGAUUGGGUGGUCAUAUUUACGGGAUUUGGAAGUGGACUUGUAAUUGGGUUGGUUAUUGGAAAUAUUUUAACCAACAGGCACCAUGAAUAGUUUGUCAAGAAAUUUGGACGUCAGAUCACAUGGAGUUAAAGAAACGUAAGUAUGUUCGUUGUAGAUGGGUUUUGGCGUGGUUUGUUGGAAGAACCAAGGAAAUGAUUAAUUUUCUAGUCGUAGCUAGCUAGUAAUGGUGUAAUAUUAUAUAUGGUUGUGUGUGUGUAUAUAUAUAUAUAGAUAUAUAUGUUCUAGCUGGAUUUAUAUAUGGUUUCGGUUGAAUAAUCAAGGAAUAGAUUUUCCUGGAGCGUGCGUGUGAUAGUGGUAGUUAUUUUGAUGUAUUAAAGUAUAUUUAUGCUAUUUAGCCUUUCACAACUACGCUUCAUAUGCUAUGCUUUUAUGGUUUAAAUAAUCAUCAUACAAUUACAAUUACAAUUUCUUCUUUAUUAAUUGUCAAAUCAUACUUAUGUGUGGAACAAGUUUAAAAGCUUAAUCUAGCUAAAGUUUUGGAUAUUUCAGGGUGCAUCGUAUAUAUAUCAUUUUCAAAUUGUUAAAAGUUUGAUUACCCUCUCCGUAGUCCGUAUUGAAUGUGUACUAAUCAAUUUUCAUCUUGUGGAGUUCCAAACUGCAAACAUAAUUAAGAAUAUGCCUCGCAUUCUUAUGGGGAAUUGACUAAUCUAUGUUGUUUGUCAUACGUAUCUCUCCCUUCUUCCUCGGAUCAGAUCUUACGAAUUACAUAGCACAAGUACCUCCAAAUUCCAAUAUUAAACCGUGAAAACUUUAUAUGUCAAGGCUAGUGCUUAAUACUAUGUCCUUAAGACAAUUAUGCCCUCCUUAUCGGUGCUUAGAGUUAUGGACACUUGUUUCCUAGGAUAUAAUGACAACGUAUGCUAUAACAGCACUACAAAUAGCGCACACAACGAACCAAAUCAAAUAUUUUGAACUCUCUUAAAUAUACUAUAAUAUGACUUAUGAAAUGAUGAAUGACUUAAGACUUGAAUGACUUGAACUGAAAAUGGAAUUGAAUUUGAAUGCUCCAAAUGGUUGCCUCCAUAUGACUUAGUGAUCAGAUGUGAAACGACCCUUGCGAACCGAUAGAACACGAAUGAAAAGACAUAAACCCAUAUGUAAUGUGUGGUUAUGAUGUUAUUUGCCUAUUUUUUAUCCAUAACAAAUACAUAAUAUAGAUCAUUUCCCUAUAUACAUAUAUUUUAUGUUUAUAUCUUUGAAGAUUCUUCAAUAAAUCAAUUAAGGUGUCUCAUUAAUUAUCAGUCCCGCGGUGGGAUAAUAGUGACUUUUGUGGAAGCCAAUUAAUUCCGCCAUCAUUUCGUCCACACAUUAAGCAAUCAGCUUGAACAAGUCGAAGCAAGCUGUGAUGAAUAUUAGUAAUUAAAAGAUUGAGAGAGAAACAGACUGACUAAUUAAAAGCAGCAGCUCACAUUCAUAUUUUUUUUUAAUUAACACAAUUUUAAUUCUUUAAUAGGGUAAAACGUAUUCCUUUGUGUUAAUUUGUGACACUUUUUACGUACGUACAUUAUAUACACACCUAUAGUUUCUUAGAUUAAUUUUCAGCAGAAUAAAUGUUUAGAGUGUGAAUUUUUUGGGUUUAAAUGUGUCUCGUAUCAUCACUAUAUUGACUACUCAAAAUUUUGUAAUAUUUAUAUUUGACGGGAUCAGCUCCUUCACCUAUACGUACAUAAUGGAACCAUCAUGUGAAACUACAUCCACACAAUCCAAACAGCAACUUAGUCCAGAAAUGGACACCUUUCCCAAAUAAUUGUACUGGAAUAAGUACCAUUUUCUCCUGUUUUUGGCUGCAUGCAUGCAUAGCUCCAUCUUCUACUCGUUUGGAAGCGUUAACGUUAAGAUUCGUUCACGCGUCUUUAUCAUCAAAAACGCGUCCAAUUCUACACAGAAACGAAAUCACACGAAAAAGCUUGACAGUCUGGACCGUCCGGAGAUAACUCCGGUAUAAAAAUAAGUACAGGUUGAACAAGGACGUUUAACAAUAAAGAUAUUUAGUGCUGAAAAAUAAUAGAUUUUGUGUGUACCUGAGAAUCAGGGUACUAUAGUCUUGUAUUUAUAAUGAUCAAUACAGUGCUGACACGCAGAGAGAGAUGACCUCCCACCUGCGUGUUGACACUAUAUUGGUCAAUUGACCAAAGUUAACCUCAUGCUAAUUAACCACUCCCAAAAAAUUUCUAUCUUCACAUAUUCUAAUUCAAUCAAUCAACAUACGCCUAGUCAAUGGGAUUUGAGUGACUUCUGUGGAAGCAAUUAACUUCGAUCGUAUGCAAAUUAACAUUUAGCAAUCAGUUAUAGUAGAGAUAGUCAGCUCGACUAAAUACGCAACCAAUUAGUCCAUAAAUGGACACUUUUUGCAAUUGUGGAAUAUAUAUAACCAUGCAUUUUCUUUAUCUUGUAAUUCAAUUUAACGUUUGUGGUCCAUCGUCUCCAUUGUUUUUGGCUUCAUCUCCUACUAGUACUUCUUCUGAAAAGUCCAUGAAGAUUGGACAAAUUAUUAUAUAAUGUUGUAGUGUUUGAAAGAAGAAAAACAAAUAAAUGUACUACAUAUUUUAUUUUCACCCGGCCUUUGAAGUAUAUUAACGUGUAUAAAAAAUUUAAAAACAUUAACUUUAUUUUAAUUGUAGAGUAAAAUGCAAGCAGCAAUCAGUGGAGCUACUGUGUUUAUCAUUAUUAGCUAAGCAAAUUAAAUUUUUUUUAAAAAAAAAUAAUUAAUUACCAGCAGUACUCAGGCAAACUCUUUAUUUUAUCUGCACGCAUGCAUGUAUUAAUUAAUGAUCAUGAAUCUUAAAUUAUUUAAUUAGGUCUCCACAAUAAAGAAAAUCAACAAAGACUUUGCUAUCCAUGGACAGGUCAUGCAGAAAAACAAACAAAAAUAUGCAUCUUCAAAGAUAUCUCAAUCAAUCAAGGUACACCGCAUAAGCCGUCAUUGGGAUUUGAGUGACUUCUGUGGAAGCAAAUAACUUCCAUCAUAUCCAAAUUAACAAUUAGUAGCAAUUCAUUUGUUAUAGUAGAGACAGACAGUUUGACUAAAAUCAACUCAUAUUUUUAUUUUUAUUUUUAUUUUUGUUUUGUUUUUGGGAAAACAUAUUCUUGAGUACCCGUUUAGGGGAGUUGUACAUAAUGACUACAAAAAUUAUAUAUAAAAAAAGUUUAAAUAAUAUUUGGUUACACAAUUAUAAAAGUCCUUUUAAAGGCAUUAAUAAUAAAUUUAAGGUAAUUAUAUAUGCGAUAUGCAAUUUUAUUUUAUUUUAACAAGUUAAGAAUAAUUUAUAUUUUUUGUCAAAAAUACUUCAGCCAAAAGGCAAUUUUCAUGCUUCGAAUAUUGAAAGUGCUUUUGAACUCAAAUUUCCACUCUUUAAAAAUGUAUUUGUAAAUUUACCAAAUAUCAAAAUAUUUUUAUUUUUAAUUUAAAAAUGCAUUUACUCCAUCCAAAAACUCCCCACACGGGCUCCAAGUCUUUCUACCUUUUUUUAUGACAAAAUUACUUAACUACCACAAAAUUUAUAAAUUACCACAUCGUUGCAGUUUAUUUGUCACCCCCUUCAUGUAUAGACUACCUGAUUUUUUAUAUUAAAUUAAAUUAAAAAAUAAAUUAGAAAGAGAGGACUUCUUGAAAUAGACUUUGUCAACCUUGGGACUACCUGAUUGAUCAGUAAUUAUGUGGAAGUCGAUCAAUCUUACCCCUUCCGUUCUUUUAGAAAAAAAAAAUUGUUCAAAUUUAUUUGUCGUUUAUAAUUUUUUAGGUAAAUAAAUUAUUUACUUUCCUAUAUCACUCAUACCUUUUCUUAUUGUCCCAAGAAAUUUUCUCCCUUAUAUUAAUAGUUUUCAACUUUUCAUAAAAGGAUAGUGAUGAAAUUUUAAAAAAAAUUUAAUUGUUAAAUGAUACUAAUAUUAAAUGAUUUUCUUAAUUCAUGUGCAAAAAUUUUAAACGAUAAUCUUUUAGGAACGGGGGUAAUAUCAUUUUCUCAAUCAGCUUGAAAAGUUGAAGCCUUGAUUGUCGGAGUCAUUACAAUAGUAGACACACAUUUCUUAUCUGUUUAUUUUUAUUUUUAUUUUUUUUGAAAUAAUGUAGUCAACUCAGCAAUGUAUCAACACACAUUUCUUAUCUGCUUUGGCCUCUUAUCAAUUGUAUAACAUGAUUUUAUUCUCCAUGCAUGCAUGUAUCCUUUUGUAGUUUUUUUAUGUAUAUACAUCUUUGAAGAUUCUUCAAUAAAUCAAUUAAUUCCAUCAUAUCCACACAUUAAGCAAUCAGCUUGAACUAGUUGAAGCAAGCUGUGAUUAAUUAAUAAUUAAGAGAGAGAGAGAGAGAGAGAAACAGACUGACUAAUUAAAAGCAGCAGCUUACAUUCAUAAUUUUUUUUAAUUAACACAUCUUUAAUUCUGUAAUAGGAUAAAACUUAUUCCUUUUUGUUAAUUUAUGACACUUUCUAUGUACGUACUUCCUCCGUCCCUAUUUAAAUGACGUUUUAAAAAUGUGCACAAUCAUUAAAAUAUCGAACUAAAAAGUAGCACCAAUAUUCAAUUAAUAGUACUUCCCAUUAAUCCUAUGGGGAGGUGUCUACGUUAACUACUUUUGCCUUAUAUAUAGAGCUCCUCACUAACUAUGAAAUGUUCACGGGCCAGAAAAAGCUUAAGCAAAGUUAACAAAUACUACUAUACUACAUACAACAUAACAUGGCUGCCCCAUACUUGUAUGCAUUAUGCUUCACCCGAUCCCUUUUGAUAUUCCUCCUAUUCACAAUUAUGAUGUUGAAUAACAACUCAUACUCCUCUGUUGAACCUCCUCCUCGAAUGUGCCACCAGGAUGAGAGCACCGCCUUGUUAAAGUUCAACCAAAGCCUUUCACUUGACCAGUCCGCCUCUGGGGAUCUUUCUGCUUAUCCAAAGACUGGAUCCUGGAAGCUUAUAACUAAAGGAGGAGAAAUUAGUGAUUGCUGUUCAUGGGAUGGAGUUGAGUGCGAUAACCACACCGGUCACGUGAUCGGCCUCGACCUCAGUAGUAGUUUUCUAUAUGGUCCGAUCACUGCCAACAGCAGUAUCUUUAGCCUUGUUCACCUUCAGAGCCUAAACCUUGGUGACAAUAACUUUAUCCGCUCUCAAAUCCCACCUGAAAUUUCUUUUCUUUCAAGUUUAUCCAGUCUUAACCUCUCAAAGUCUGCAUUUUCGGGCCAAAUCCCUUCUGAAUUAUUGAGAUUGUCUAAAUUGACUUCCCUUGAUCUUUCAUACAACAAGUUGUAUGGUGAAUUUCCAGGAGGCAUUUUCCAUCAACCAGACCUGCUUUUUCUUAAAGUGAGUUACAAUAGAAAUAUCACUGGUUAUUUGCCAGAGUUUAACCAAAGUAGCUCCUUGAAGGAUCUGAGAAUUUCUGGCACGAAUUUCUCGGGUAAACUGCCAGUCUCGAUUGGAAAUUUGAAAGCCUUGAAUUCAUUGGUCCUCUCUGAAUGCUAUUUCUCAGGAUCAAUUCCGGCUUCAUUAGGUAACUUGACCCAACUCACUCGUUUAUAUCUUUUCUCUAAUAACUUUAAUGUAGGGAAACUGUCAUGGAUUGGCAAGCUUACUAAACUCAUUUGGCUGAACGUCAGAGAUACCAAUCUCUAUGGUGAGAUCCCAUCAUCUCUUGCAAACCUAACCCAACUUACUGAGCUUCAAAUUGGGAAUAACAAUUUCUAUGCUGGUGAAAUUCCAUCCUGGUUGAUGAACAUGACCCAGUUAAUCUGGAUAGAUAUAUCACAUAGCCAACUGCAAGGCCAGAUUUCAAGCUCGUUCUCCCAAUUCAACAACCUUGAUACUCUUUAUCUUAAUCAUAAUAACCUCAGUGGUACAGUAGACGCAGAUAUUUUUCUCAACCUCAAGAAACUAACAAAUUUGAUGUUAUCAUUUAACAAGAUAUCAUUUCUCACCAAACCUCGUCACAUAAAUUCCACUCUUCCACAACUUCAGAUUUUAGGUUUGUCUUUUUGCAACUUAAGCGAGAUCCCACAUUUUUUGCAAUUUCAAAAUCAACUGGAGGUAUUAUACCUUGGCUUCAACAAAAUUCAUGGCCAAAUACCACAAUGGAUGUGGAACAUAAGUGAAACACUGGAGUCGAUUGAUCUUUCUAACAAUUCCCUAACGGGAUUUGAACAAAAUCCAAUUGUACUUCAAGGUGUUGGUUUACGCUUUUUAUUCCUCGACCGCAACAUGCUGCAAGGAAAUCUUCCAGUUCCACCACCAAAUACUGUUUCUUACGACGUCUCAAACAACAGACUAACUGGAAAUAUUCCGCCAUUGAUUUGUCGUGCGAGCUCUCUCCUUUGGCUUGAUUUGUCAAACAACAACAUGAGUGGAGCAAUUCCUCAGUGUCUGGUCAAUUCUUUGAUGAUACUGAAUCUCAAAUCUAACAACUUUUCUGGUACCAUUCCUCGAGUAUACACGAGAGAAUGCAACUUGAAGAUGAUGGACUUGAGUCAAAAUCAAUUAAAGGGGCAGUUACCAAGAUCUUUGGAAAAUUGUAAAAUGUUCCAGGUUCUCGAUCUAGCAGAUAAUCAGAUGGAAGACACUUUCCCCUUUUGGUUGGGAGCUCUUCCGAAACUGCAAGUUCUGAUUUUGCGAUCCAACAAAUUCCAUGGUGAAAUAGGGAGUCCUCGUAUCACUUCAGAGUUCUCAAUGCUGCGUAUCGUUGAUCUCUCUAACAAUUCUUUUACUGGUGAUUUGCCACUCGAGUACAUUCAGAGCUGGAAGGCCAUGAAAGUUGUCCACGUAGACUUGCUGACAUUUAUGCAGACAACAACAUUUUCUCAAAUCAACUCCGUUGGGUUUACAGAUGGUUAUACGUACUCGAUUACAAUUACAAACAAAGGUGUGAAGACAGAGUAUGUGAAGAUUUUAAAUAUCUUCUUCGCGGUUGAUCUUUCAAGCAACAAGUUCAUCGGGGAAAUUCCAGAAUCUGUUGGAAGUCUUAAAGGGCUUCAGUUGCUCAACCUUUCAAACAAUCAUCUUACUGGUCCCAUUCCAUCUUUCCUCGGGAACCUGACAAACCUUGAAUCACUGGACCUUUCUCGGAACAAGCUCUCAGGAGUGAUCCCUCAGCAAUUUGUACAAGAACUAAAUUUCCUUGCAUUCUUAAAUGUCUCUAAUAACCUGCUCAGUGGGCCCAUACCACAAGGGGGGCAAUUUGCUACAUUUGAGAACAAUUCUUACGAGGAGAACUCAGCACUUUGUGGUAUGCCUUUAUCUACGAAAUGUGGAGCUGUGCAAUCACCCAUCCCUUUGCCACCUGAUGAUGAUGAUGAUGACGAUUCUGAUGAGUUUCCCAGUGGAGUUGAUUGGGUGGUCAUAUUUGCCGGAUUUGGAGGUGGACUUGUAGUUGGGUUGGUUUUUGGAAAUAUUUUAACCAACAGGCACCAUGAAUGGUUUGUCAAGAAAUUUGGACGUCAGAGAAAGCAGAUCACAUGGAGUUAAAGAAACGUAAGUUUGUUCGUUGUAGAUGGGUUUAGGCGUGGUUUGUUGGAAGAACCAAGGAAAUGCUUUUCUAGUCGUAGCUAGCUAGUAAUGGUGUAAUAUUAUAUAUGGUUGUGUGUGUGUGUGUGUAUAUAUAUAUAUAUAUAUAUAUAUAUAUAUAUAUAUAUAUGUUCUAGCUGGAUUUAUAUAUGGUGGAUCUAUUAGUCUUAGAAGACACUAAGACUAAUAGAGUAUUGUUGUAUGUGAUAUGCAUGGUAGCCAUUCUUAUGUAUUAAAGGAUUAUAUCUCCUUGGUUUAGCCUUUCAUAGCUAGGGUUUCUAUCUUCUGUUUUUUUUAAUAAUCAUAAAAAAUCACAAUUCCUUCUUUAUUAUCAAUUCCCAGUUU